CGGCAACAGCUCAAAUUUGAAAUCUGGCGCAAGCCCGAGCUGUAAUUUGGAGAGGAUGCUUCGGGGCAGCGGCCGGUUUAAGUUUCUUGGAACAGAACGUCGCAGAGGGUGAGAAUCCCGUAUGUGACCGGCAGGCACCCUUCACGUAGCUCCUUCGAC
Molecule: ribosomal RNA, 159 nt
Filed under: Hortaea sp.
Lineage: Eukaryota; Fungi; Ascomycota; Dothideomycetes; Mycosphaerellales; Teratosphaeriaceae
Description: partial large subunit ribosomal RNA
Rfam family: Eukaryotic large subunit ribosomal RNA
Source: RNAcentral